GCGAUCAUACCAGCAGUAAUCCACUGUAUCCCAUUAGAACUCCACAGUUAAGCAUGCUUGGGGGAGAGUAGUACUAGGAUGGGUGACCCCCUGGGAAGGCCUUGUGUUCCACCC
Non-coding RNA from Ilex paraguariensis (yerba mate), 114 nucleotides. The record is from the annotation of a GenBank genome assembly. Lineage: Eukaryota; Viridiplantae; Streptophyta; Magnoliopsida; Aquifoliales; Aquifoliaceae.